GGUGAUAGGAUGUAUAUUUAAAUGUCUCGAGCGCGCGGAGUGUCUCUUGAGCAACUUUUGCCAGGUGUCUGACUGCUGGACGUUGGUUCGUCGGACCAAAGUUUCUUCAUUCAAAAAACGAGAAGGUAUGCUCCUAAUCAGGCUAUCACAGGUGAAGUAGUCUUCUUCUGCUGGUUUCCCGUCCGACGCAUAUUGAUGCCUUUCACUGUUUGGAAAAUGCAAUGCACAUUUGUUCACAAAAGGGAAAAAAGACUCUGAUCUGGUUUUGACCGUUUUGCUUGUCCACGACCAGUCUCUUGCCUACCCCUCCGGAGAGCAAUGCAGGACACAGCUCCCGUCCCGAGCGACAAGACGUGUAGCGCCUGAGGCUACCCUUCACACAACAAUUUGGUUCUGGGGUUGGAGAAGAUCACAGGUGUAUCCUAGGGAAGGUUAUGUACUGAGCUGAAACGUCUAUGUUUUUCAUAUAGUUUCUCUCGUGAACCUGGACAUGGCAGAAAUGAACAAUCUAUAAAAUAUGCAUUUGGCUAUUUCCUAUCACAGGCUUCAUACUCCAUUUUCAGUGGGCCAACCCCAUCUUUUUGACAUUGUUUAUUUUUCAUUUCAGAAAUUCAAUGUGUGAAUGUCAUAUAUUCAAUUGGCACUGUCUCAUAUUCAAUGCUGUAAUAAUUUGCUUAUCUGGUUAAAUUAAUUCAAAGUAAAUCAAUUAAAAGUACUGUAUUGACAUUC
Molecule: long non-coding RNA, 729 nt
Organism: Oncorhynchus gorbuscha (pink salmon)
Lineage: Eukaryota; Metazoa; Chordata; Actinopteri; Salmoniformes; Salmonidae
Exons: 3
Source: RefSeq, a predicted model, not a curated record